Molecule: long non-coding RNA, 1187 nt
Organism: Anthonomus grandis grandis
Lineage: Eukaryota; Metazoa; Arthropoda; Insecta; Coleoptera; Curculionidae
Exons: 2
Source: RefSeq, a predicted model, not a curated record
CGUUUUAUGACUCCUUGUAUGUCGAGUAAACCUAUUGAAGGUGUGAAGCAACAAUCAUAAUUGAAAAUUAUUCAUGAGAGUAAUUGGAAGUAAUGCAUUCAGUUUAAUUGUUAGAGUUGUUGGUCGAUUGGUAACCAACAAAUAGCAUGUGUGUGAAGAAAUGGCUUCAAGUCGCUUUGUAACUUCUAAGGACUUUUUGAGUUUGUAUACGUAUUAUUAGUUCCUGAGCGUUGAUAUUGUUAUUAAUAAGUAAAGAAUGAUCCCAGGUUCCCCAGUAAUGAGGCUUAAUUUUAAAUUUACGGGUCGGUGCACUGUGCUUAAUUUUGGUUUUUCCGUCUUGGUAUUGCCCAUACUAUUAAAGAUGCGAAAAAAUGGUACCAACUUGCAAAAAUCGUAGAUAUAGUAAUGUUAAGAAAUCAACAGUUAAUAGCAAAUAAAAUAUUUCAUUAUUUUAUUUUUGCUAUUCAAACCCAAUGUAAUCCAGGAAAUAAUAAAUAUCUUGCGAAAAAGCCAUCACUGCAAGUUUAGUCAUGCGUCAAAUAGAUCAAAGACCACCCGAUCAUGAUAAUGUCUAAUCUAACGGUUCCGAUAAUAAUAAUAAUCUGAAAAAAUAUGCAUUGGAAUGAAUAUUGGGUAUAUAAAUAGCAUCUCGAAACCUGACCUCAGAGCGGCACUUGGGUUUAGGCAAAUCGACCCGUUGGCUUAGUUAAACUGUUAAUGCGUUGAACCUGACAUACUUUCGGGAGAUUAGCACUAUUAAUAGUUAACAACACUCUGAGAUUUCGGAAAUAUACCGUAGGAAAAUGAUUAGGAUGGGUAUUUAGGACGUAAAGCCUAAAGUCCCAAUUUAAGCCGUAAUUUAGGUUAUUUUAUUGUAAAUCUUCAUAACUUAAAUAUGUAUUUGGGAUUCUGUGAACUUGAAAUACUUGCAAAUGGAGACCAACAGAUGGAGACCGGCCAGUCAAUGGACAAAAAGAACGAGAUAAGAGGAUACGAGGAACGAGACCAAAAACAAAAAAAGUGAAAUACGAAAUAGGAAAUAAUAUCCAAAACCAUCAAAGGCGAUUUUAAGAAAGAAUACGAAGAGCAAAAUAGAAAACAAGAAAACCUGAUAAAGAUCAUAAAAAUCAUCAACCCUAUAUAUGUUAUUUAUCUUAUUAAAAACUUUACAUUUAUAUUAUCGUCAA